This 1356-nucleotide ribosomal RNA is filed under the name Triticum aestivum (bread wheat). RNAcentral describes it as "partial small subunit ribosomal RNA". Lineage: Eukaryota; Viridiplantae; Streptophyta; Magnoliopsida; Poales; Poaceae. The record is from RNAcentral.
AUGGACACAGAGUGCCGCGGGCCGCAGCAGGGGGGCUCGUCGUGCUGGGCGACGGGCGCGGCGGCUUGGAGUUCAUCGCAGCAGAAGCGCCAGCGGUGCGAGGGUUCUUCCAGCGACCAAGUUGGAUCCAGCACAAGUGCUUCUGUGCAAAUGACUGAAUCAGAGCUACCAGAUACUGAUUACGUAGAAAAUGAGGAAGAGGAUUACUAUAUGGAUGAUGAUGAUGAUGAUUGUGAUGAUGACAACGGCGAUGACUCUGAAUAUGAAUUUGAUGAAGCUGACUUUAAUCAGCAGCUUGCUGAUAAAUUUGAUGAUUUAGAUCUGCCUCCAGGUGUGGAGGCUACUGUACCAUGGCUUCAGAAACUUGCAGCCAAUGACGAGCAGGACGGAGCGUCAGAUGAGUUAGUUGAGGAUGAAAUUACAAGGAAAUAUAAGGCAUUUCAACAAUUCUACACUGUUCAAAAUUUCUCUGACCACCAUUAUGCUAAUAAAUCAGUGGGGAAGACAAGCAGGGAAUGGGCAAAGAGAAUUCAACAUGACUGGAAACUUUUAGAGAAAGAUCUACCAGCUUCUAUCUUUGUCCGUGUUGCUGAAGAUAGAAUGGAUCUUCUUAGGGCUGCGAUUAUUGGCCCUAAGGGAACACCCUAUCAUGAUGGUCUCUUCUUCUUUGAUGCACAUUUUACCUCUAAUUAUCCUUCAGAGCCUCCGUUGGUGUAUUACCAUUCUGGAGGGCUUCGACUUAAUCCGAACUUGUAUAAUUGUGGAAAAGUCUGCCUUAGCCUCCUUGGUACCUGGAGUGGUAGUGGUUGCGAGAAGUGGAACUCAGCUCACUCAACCAUGCUGCAGGUGCUUGUGUCCAUUCAGGCUCUCAUUUUGAAUGAGAAGCCAUACUUCAAUGAACCGGGAUAUGCAGGCUCUGCGAAUACCGCAACUGGACAACAGCAUUCUGUAGAGUAUAACAAGAACACAUUUCUGCACUCCUGUAGGACUAUGCUGUAUUCACUUAGAAGGCCUCCGGAGCACUUUGGAGACCUUGUCGCCGGCCACUUCCGGGAACGUGGACGCACCAUUCUGGCAGCAUGCAAACACUACCUAGAGGGUAACAUGGUUGGAUCGGAGGUCCCCGAAGAGGAAGAAGUGGAAUACGACGGCACUGGAGCAUCUAGCAGCAGCAGCAGCAGCAGUGUACCAAAGAAGCAAGAAGUGAUGAGGGUGGAUCCACUGGGUAGGCGCACUCAGUUCAUUGACAACCUCAAGACGCUGUUUGAAGAUCUUCUGAUGGAGUUCAACGUGAAGGGCGCUGACACUAGGAAGUUCCUGGAAGACAAGGUGAAGAAGAACCUGCCCGCAGCCUGA